This 301-nucleotide ribosomal RNA is filed under the name uncultured bacterium. RNAcentral's name for it is "partial 16S ribosomal RNA". It matches the Rfam family "Bacterial small subunit ribosomal RNA", at positions 509 to 807 of the family's 1533-position model. The record is from RNAcentral.
CAGUCGCCGCGGUAAAACGAAGGGGGCUAGCGUUGUUCGGAAUUACUGGGCGUAAAGCGCACGUAGGCUGACAUUUAAGUCAGGGGUGAAAUCCCGGGGCUCAACCUCGGAACUGCCUUUGAUACUGGGUGUCUUGAGUGUGGAAGAGGUAAGUGGAAUUGCGAGUGUAGAGGUGAAAUUCGUAGAUAUUCGCAGGAACACCAGUGGCGAAGGCGGCUUACUGGUCCACAACUGACGCUGAGGUGCGAAAGCGUGGGGAGCAAACAGGAUUAGAUACCCGCGUAGUCCCUGUCUCUUAUAC